Nerophis ophidion (straightnose pipefish) is the source of this 1607-nucleotide long non-coding RNA. RefSeq lists it as uncharacterized. The transcript has 4 exons. Lineage: Eukaryota; Metazoa; Chordata; Actinopteri; Syngnathiformes; Syngnathidae. The record is from RefSeq and is a predicted model, not a curated record.
CGUGUCUUUUUCUGUUGGUCGGCCUGGCGUCGUUGUGACCUUUUCUUGCUCCGUGCUGACUUUAGUCCUGCCUUGCCAUAGUUUUCUGCUUCAUGCCAUGCCAACAGGCUCAACAUCAACAAAUGCCUGUUGAAAAAAGGAACAUUUGGUCUGGUACUUUUGACUGGAGGGAGUAACAGUGAGAACUCAAGCCAGCUCAACGCGCGGUGAGAAGACAUGUUCUACGCCAGGUUGGACUGAGCUCCAAGCAAGUUUCUCAGGAAGCUAAAAUUGCCUGUCAUCCAGUGACCUCUCUUCAUGCACUAAAGUUAAAUGAACAUGACAAGGACAAGCAACCCAAGACCCGAAACAUUGGCACAAAGGUGUUGGCAAGCAGCUCUGAAGUUAAGACAGAUACUGCCAAGUGGUUGUGUUUUGGUUGCUUGAAACCAGGAGGCUAUUAACAGAGCUGUGAAAGGAAAUGUUUGUGACCUGUGCAAGGGCAAGCAUCCUACAUGCUUGCAUGAAGAGCGCGGUAAGGUGGGAGGAAGAAAACCACGUCAGGCAGAUUAACUAAAACAGAGCCCGCAACCAAUAAAGGGAAUUUGAUAUUCCAUGAAAACCUCAAAUGAAGCAAAAUCCAACCAAGUCGUAGGAGACAGGAACAGUACACAUACAUCUACAGUUAUGCCAGUGUAGUUGUCAACUAUAAGCCAUCCAGAAAAUGAACUGGUCGCAUAUGCACUCUUGGACAAUCAAAGUGACAGCACAUUUGUUUAUCAAGACAAGGCGAAAGGUUUGGACACUCAGAAAGAGCUUGCACAGUCAAAACAUUCAAAGUUGUCUUCUAAAAGCACAAUCAUUUCAAGUCAAAGGUUAACUGGACUACAAGUUGGAUGCUUUUAUUCCACAACACGGAUACAAGUACAUAUACAUACAUACACUCAUGCACAUAAUCACGUUUCAUCAAACAUAUAUCAACGUUGUUUCCCUAGGGUAAACUGGGUAACACAUGGCAUAUUGACAAAGCUUAACCCAUUGUUACUAUAACAAUCUACAAGAUUAAUAUAGGUUGCCUCUCUCUCUUCCCUUUCAUCUUUCGGUAUUUUUAUUUUUUAUUUUUAUUUCAUUUAUUUUAUUAUUUUUUUAUCAUCUUUCUAGCUAUCGUUAUGUAUACGUAUUGUUGCAUUUGAACAACUGUAUUGUUGAUAAUAGAGGUAAACUAUUGGUUUUGUUCAUGAUCAAUAGCGCUUUUUCUAUUGGUAUUUACAUUGCUCCAGUUUUAGUGUAAAAAUGCUCAUUGUCAUUACUAUAUUAUUAUUUAUUUCGCUAACUGCUUAUUUGCUAUCACUUUUACGAUCAUAUUUGUACAUAUUGUAUGUGCUGGUGUUGUUCUAUUGUUGUUGUUGUUAUUGUUGUGUUUGCUGUUGUUGUUUUUGUCUCUCCGUCUAAUCCCCCUCUUAUCCCCACAAUUCCCCCCUCUGUCUUCCUUUUUCCUCUUUCUAUCCAUUCCUGCUCCGGCCCGGCUGCACCAAAUAAUAUAAAUACAUUUAAUAAAGUCAAAUUGAAAUAAGGCAAAAAGAGAAGUAUCCUACACUUCUCUUUUGUAAAGUAAAUCUGAACAGCCG